Molecule: non-coding RNA, 72 nt
Organism: Stegodyphus mimosarum
Lineage: Eukaryota; Metazoa; Arthropoda; Arachnida; Araneae; Eresidae
Source: Rfam
GCCUUCGUAGUGUAGUGGUCAGCACGCUCAACGUGUAAACGAGAGGUCCGUGGUUCGAUUCUCGCGAAGGCA